UACGUAGGGUGCGAGCGUUGUCCGGAAUUAUUGGGCGUAAAGAGCUCGUAGGCGGUUUGUCGCGUCUGCUGUGAAAACCCGAGGCUCAACCUCGGGCCUGCAGUGGGUACGGGCAGACUAGAGUGCGGUAGGGGAGAUCGGAAUUCCUGGUGUAGCGGUGAAAUGCGCAGAUAUCAGGAGGAACACCGGUGGCGAAGGCGGAUCUCUGGGCCUUACCUGACGCUCAGGCACGAAAGCUAGGGGAGCGAACAGG
This 253-nucleotide ribosomal RNA is filed under the name uncultured bacterium. RNAcentral's name for it is "partial 16S ribosomal RNA". It matches the Rfam family "Bacterial small subunit ribosomal RNA", at positions 524 to 776 of the family's 1533-position model. The record is from RNAcentral.